Molecule: ribosomal RNA, 374 nt
Filed under: uncultured organism
Description: partial 16S ribosomal RNA
Rfam family: Bacterial small subunit ribosomal RNA
Source: RNAcentral
GUAGGUGGCAAGCGUUGUCCGGAAUUAUUGGGCGUAAAGCGCGCGCAGGCGGUUCUUUAAGUCUGAUGUGAAAGCCCACGGCUCAACCGUGGAGGGUCAUUGGAGACUGGGGAACUUGAGUACAGAAGAGGAAAGCGGAAUUCCACGUGUAGCGGUGAAAUGCGUAGAGAUGUGGAGGAACACCAGUGGCGAAGGCGGCUUUCUGGUCUGUAACUGACGCUGAGGCGCGAAAGCGUGGGGAGCAAACAGGAUUAGAUACCCUGGUAGUCCACGCCGUAAACGAUGAGUGCUAAGUGUUAGGGGGUUUCCGCCCCCCUUAGUGCUGCAGCUAACGCAUUAGGCACUCCGCCCCGGGGAGUACGGCCGCAAGGCUG